RNAcentral lists this ribosomal RNA (414 nucleotides) under Camaenidae sp. SN6. RNAcentral describes it as "partial 16S ribosomal RNA". It matches the Rfam family "Bacterial large subunit ribosomal RNA", at positions 1808 to 2583 of the family's 2925-position model. The record is from RNAcentral. Lineage: Eukaryota; Metazoa; Mollusca; Gastropoda; Stylommatophora; Camaenidae.
CAAAAACAUAGCCAUAUGGUAAUAAAUGGUGUUUUCUGCUCCAUGAGAGAAUUAAAUAGCCGCAGUACAUUGACUGUGCAAAGGUAGCGCAAUCAAUUGACUUUUAAUUGAAGUCCUGUAUGAAAGAACUAAUAGGGGGUAACUGUACUCGGAGGUAUUUCGCAAACUUGCUGAGUAAGUGAAAAUUCUUACAUAUAAUUAAUAGACGAGAAGACCCUAGAAAUUUUAAGAAUUUUAUCCUAAGUCUUUUUGUUGGGGCAACAUAGUAACAGAUAAUCUACUAAUGAACACGAAAGGUUUGCCUAGUAUGAUUAAAUUACUCUAGGGAUAACAGCAUAAUUUAUGAUAAGUUUGUGACCUCGAUGUUGGAUUAGGGAACUGAUAUUUAAAAGACAAUCAAGUUAGCUCUGUUCG